RNAcentral lists this ribosomal RNA (253 nucleotides) under uncultured bacterium. RNAcentral describes it as "partial 16S ribosomal RNA". It matches the Rfam family "Bacterial small subunit ribosomal RNA", at positions 524 to 776 of the family's 1533-position model. The record is from RNAcentral.
UACGGGGGGGGCAAGCGUUGUUCGGAAUUACUGGGCGUAAAGCGCACGUAGGCGGACUCUUAAGUCGGUGGUGAAAUCCUGGAGCUCAACUCCAGAACUGCCUUCGAUACUGAGAGUCUCGAGUCCGGGAGAGGUGAGUGGAACUGCGAGUGUAGAGGUGAAAUUCGUAGAUAUUCGCAAGAACACCAGUGGCGAAGGCGGCUCACUGGCCCGGUACUGACGCUGAGGUGCGAAAGCGUGGGGAGCAAACAGG